Molecule: non-coding RNA, 2520 nt
Organism: Phoenix dactylifera (date palm)
Lineage: Eukaryota; Viridiplantae; Streptophyta; Magnoliopsida; Arecales; Arecaceae
Source: RefSeq, a predicted model, not a curated record
AUCCAAUCAGGCUAAAAUUUGGGAACCCAAGCCGUUGCCGGUCCAAGCCAAAGAGACGAGACCCUAGCUGCAAGGAGCCCUCCACUUCCGGGGCAUUCCAGCCAAUCGCCAAGAAGCUUUCAAGAAGCUCUCCAAGAUUUUUUUUUUUCUUUUUUCUUUGGGUAAAUCAGAUUCAAGGAAGACAAAGGAAGGCAAAGCAAGACAAGAAGGAAUCCCGUCCUCCGGUAGACCCGAAGACUGACCCCCGCGCCCGCGGAAUCAAAUCCUGAUCGCAGAAAGAGGCGCCUCGAACCCGAACCUCCUCAAGGAUUAAAGCUUCCACCUUCCUCCCUUCUAUCUAUUCUCCCGCGACAAUGGCGAGAAAUUUCUGCGACGUCCGACUCCUCCUCAUCGUCGCAGCCACCGCCUUUAUAUUCAUCCAGGUUCAAUGCUUGCUUCAGCUUCAUGGAACUGUAGUCUGGCAUUGACACUCAAAACUGGAUGAAGUCAAUAGCCAAGAGUGAGAAUCUUGGAGUAGCCUCCCGUACAAAAUUUCUGUCAUUUCCCUGGUCAAGUCAUGCUUGGAUUCCUGAUCUUCAACAAAUGCGCCUUUUGGCAACACAGUCUGAGUGUGCAGAUCGCCUAGCUUCUGCGGUGGAGUCUGAAAGGCAGUGCACAAGUCAGAUGAGAUCGUUGAUAGAUCAGAUUAGUGUACAACAAGGAAAAAUUGUUGCCUUGGAAGAGGAAAAGAAGCUUCAAGAUGAAGAGUUUACCCACUUGAAGGCCCUAGUUCAAGAUCUUGAAAAAAAAGGUCUUCAGAGCUUGUUGAACAACUUAGAGGUACCUGUAGCAGCAGUUGUUAUAAUGGCCUGUAAUCGCCCAGACUAUUUGCAAAGGACAAUUCAAUCUGUUUUAAAAUAUCAGACUUCAGUUGCUUCCAAAUUUCCACUAUUUGUAUCCCAGGACGGAACAAAUCGAGAUGUUAAAAACAUGGCUUUGAGCUUUAAACAGUUAACAUAUUUGCAGCACUUGGAUUUUACACCUGUGCAUACGGAACGGCCUGGAGAACUAAUUGCGUACUACAAGAUUGCAAGGCACUACAAGUGGGCCUUGGAUGAAUUAUUUAUCAAGCAUAAUUUCAGUCGAGUAAUCAUAUUAGAAGCAAUUGCUGGACAGAUGACAUGGAGAUUGCCCCAGAUUUUUUUGAUUAUUUUGAGGCCACAGCUUCUAUACUCGAGAAUGACAAGACAAUCAUGGCUGUUUCUUCUUGGAAUGACAAUGGACAAGUGCAAUUUGUGCAUGAUCCUAAAACUCUUUAUCGCUCUGAUUUCUUUCCCGGGCUUGGGUGGAUGCUAUCAAAAUCUAUAUGGGAUGAGUUAUCACCAAAGUGGCCUAAAGCUUAUUGGGAUGACUGGAUUAGGCUUAAGGAGAUACACAGAGAGCGCCAAUUUAUUCAUCCAGAAGUUUGUAGAACUUACAAUUUCGGUGAGCAUCAAGGUUUAUGGUACCGAUCGGCAUCGUACCGUACCGAGCAUAUCGUACUGUACCAGACGGAAUUGGGCUCAAGUAUGGGGCAGUACUUUAAAAAAUAUUUGGAGCCUAUCAAAUUGAAUGAUGUUCAUGUUGAUUGGAAGACAAUGGAUCUAAGCUACCUGACCGAGGACAAAUUUUUGAGACACUUUGCUAAACUAGUUGCACAUGCCAAACCUGUUCAUGGACCUGAUUUAAUUUUAAAAGCACACAACACAGAUGGUGAUGCGUGGAUCCAAUAUAAAGAUCAAGCUGACUUUGAACAAAUUGCACGACAAUUUGGGAUAUUUGAAGAAUGGAAGGAUGGCAUUCCCAGGACAGCAUAUAAAGGAGUUGUAGUGUUCCGGCAUCAAACUUCAAGGCGAAUAUAUCUUGUGGGCCCAGAUUCUCUCAAGCUACUUGGGCUAGAGCAUUCUUGAAAAUAAUCACAUCAUUGGUUUGUUUGAGGUGUUGCUGAUAGUUUUUUUUUCUUACGUUAAAAAAUUUUGAUUAAGUGUUCUCUUUGUAGAACUCAAGAUCAUAAGAUAUAGAGUAUAGGAAAUAUCAAUCAGGUUCAUUUUCCUAAUUGAGUAUAAGGUGGAAGCAUGUCAAAAGAAGCUCAAGUUCAUUUAGAAGACAAAAAAUACCAAGAAAGAAAAAUAGUUGAUAUAAUUGAAGGACUGAUAUAGAGAUGCUCAGACAACACAAACAUAAUUUAACGGCCAGCCGAACCAAAAGAGAUUCUUAUCAAACAUGCAUAUUUUUCUUGUUUGUCCUGUCUAGUCUUUGCCAUGUAAUUUUAACAUUCGCAUGUCACAGCAUAGCCCACAACUGGGUAAUCUACUGGAUGUAGGCUUACUGAUGAAUGUUGGAAGAAAAUGUAACAAUGGCACGUGGGAUGCAAAUUUAUACCAUGACGUCUAUUUCAUGAUCAGGCUAAAAUUCUAAAUGACGGUGCAGUAAUUUCUCUAUUGCUUUGUAUUAUGCAUAACUUUUUCUUUAUGACAAAACAAGCUUGGUCACGUUGGAAAA